CUGCCCGUAGCAUAAUGGCUAAUGCAAUAGAUUCCGAUUCUAUAGAUUGGAGGUUCGAGUCCUCUCGGGUGGACCA
This 76-nucleotide transfer RNA is filed under the name Eubacterium sp. Its description in RNAcentral is "tRNA-Arg". It matches the Rfam family "tRNA". From Rfam's summary of the family: Transfer RNA (tRNA) molecules are approximately 80 nucleotides in length. Their secondary structure includes four short double-helical elements and three loops (D, anti-codon, and T loops). The record is from RNAcentral. Lineage: Bacteria; Bacillati; Bacillota; Clostridia; Eubacteriales; Eubacteriaceae.